AUGGUAGCUGUGAUACUCCCCAUGCACUGGCAGACAAAGAACUGCAACAUGUCUUCUCUCCCACCUCCCAAAAUGCUUCUGAGGAACUAUUCAGCAGAAGUUGGAACAAUCAAGCAAACAGCCAGGGUCGGCUUCAGCAGGGUGGUGGAAGAUGUAAUACCACUGCUGGUCACACAGAGGAACAAGCUCUCACAACAGAAGUUAAACACCACCUAUUCAACGGCAACUUCAUGUUGUAUUUUAUGAACUCCCUGGGAUCCGAGAUAAUUUUUAUCACCACAAUGAAGUCUGAAAGAAACAAAACUACUGCCUUCUGAGAAGAUUUGCAAAACAUGAGUAGGUUUUUUACAGUGCAUUACAUUUCACUUUCAUAUCUUGCUAGCAAUGGGAUUUCUCUGACAUCAGUAGCCCAGGGGUUUGCCCCAGCAAAGCACUUGAAUCCUUCCAGGAGGUCCAUGACCUGUCGACUUGCAGGGUGCUGAGUUGCCUGCACUGCUGGUAACUUAGCCAGCUGUGGAAUACGCUGCAGAGCUGGAGCCAUGAGUAGGAGGAGUACCGAAGAACAACACAGAACUGUGAAGAACAUGUUUUUCAAAAAGCCUUUGGGUAUUGAUCAUAGCUACAGGAAGUCAAUCUUGCUAUGGUGCUAAAAGACACUUGAGAAAAGAUAUGUGGCUAGUAAGUUAAAUAAUGCAAAUACAAUCCCUUGCCCUGAAUCAGAUAUCAGCUGUUGAGUAUGGCUUUACACUUGGUAUGUCCAGUGAUGGAAUGAGGUGGAGUGUAUUAUUCAAUGUUCACAAAGUGCUUAUCAGUGAAAAACCAUCACUCAUUGAUGACCUGUUCUAAAAAACAAAACAAAACAAAAAACUCAUCUAACAGCAUUAUGAUUCCUAUGUAAUAACUUUGUGCAACUGUAAAUAACAACAGAUGCUUUCAUUUGUUUAUAACAUUAUGUAUUAAUUUACUUUUCAAGCUUCACAACUUCAUUUCUCAAUGACACACACACAUAAAAUAAUGUAGUGUUAUUGGGACACAAACUCACUACAAAGUUCAUUUUAAAAUUGAAAAAAUAAAAACACAAAAUAUUCAGUUAUUAGUUAUAUC
This 1104-nucleotide long non-coding RNA is filed under the name Anas platyrhynchos platyrhynchos (common mallard). RNAcentral describes it as "lncRNA (ENSAPLG00000018645.1)". The record is from RNAcentral. Lineage: Eukaryota; Metazoa; Chordata; Aves; Anseriformes; Anatidae.